This 497-nucleotide ribosomal RNA is filed under the name uncultured bacterium. RNAcentral describes it as "partial 16S ribosomal RNA". It matches the Rfam family "Bacterial small subunit ribosomal RNA", at positions 28 to 507 of the family's 1533-position model. The record is from RNAcentral.
GAUGAACGCUGGCGGCGUGCCUAAUACAUGCAAGUCGAGCGAACGGACGAGAAGCUUGCUUCUCUGAUGUUAGCGGCGGACGGGUGAGUAACACGUGGAUAACCUACCUAUAAGACUGGGAUAACUUCGGGAAACCGGAGCUAAUACCGGAUAAUAUUUUGAACCGCAUGGUUCAAAAGUGAAAGACGGUCUUGCUGUCACUUAUAGAUGGAUCCGCGCUGCAUUAGCUAGUUGGUAAGGUAACGGCUUACCAAGGCAUCGAUGCAUAGCCGACCUGAGAGGGUGAUCGGCCACACUGGAACUGAGACACGGUCCAGACUCCUACGGGAGGCAGCAGUAGGGAAUCUUCCGCAAUGGGCGAAAGCCUGACGGAGCAACGCCGCGUGAGUGAUGAAGGUCUUCGGAUCGUAAAACUCUGUUAUUAGGGAAGAACAUAUGUGUAAGUAACUGUGCACAUCUUGACGGUACCUAAUCAGAAAGCCACGGCUAACUACGUG